RNAcentral lists this ribosomal RNA (468 nucleotides) under uncultured bacterium. Its description in RNAcentral is "partial 16S ribosomal RNA". It matches the Rfam family "Bacterial small subunit ribosomal RNA", at positions 28 to 507 of the family's 1533-position model. The record is from RNAcentral.
GACGAACGCUGGCGGCGUGCUUAACACAUGCCAGUCGAACGGAAAGGCCCUGCUUUUGUGGGGUGCUCGAGUGGCGAACGGGUGAGUAACACGUGAGUAACCUGCCCUUGACUUUGGGAUAACUUCAGGAAACUGGGGCUAAUACCGGAUAGGAGCUCCUGCUGCAUGGUGGGGGUUGGAAAGUUUCGGCGGUUGGGGAUGGACUCGCGGCUUAUCAGCUUGUUGGUGGGGUAGUGGCUUACCAAGGCUUUGACGGGUAGCCGGCCUGAGAGGGUGACCGGCCACAUUGGGACUGAGAUACGGCACAGACUCCUACGGGAGGCAGCGGUGGGGAAUAUUGCACAAUGGGCGGAAGCCUGAUGCAGCAAAGCCGCGUGCGGGAUGACGGCCUUCGGGUUGUAAACCGCUUUCGCCUGUGACGAAGCGUGAGUGACGGUAAUGGGUAAAGAAGCACCGGCUAACUACGUG